RNAcentral lists this ribosomal RNA (443 nucleotides) under uncultured bacterium. RNAcentral describes it as "bacterial SSU rRNA". It matches the Rfam family "Bacterial small subunit ribosomal RNA", at positions 338 to 795 of the family's 1533-position model. The record is from RNAcentral.
CCUACGGGAGGCUGCAGUGAGGAAUAUUCCUCAAUGGGCGAAAGCCUGAAGGAGCGACGCCGCGUGACUGAUGAAGUCUUUCGGGAUGUAAAGGUCUUUUCUACGGGACGAAACAAUGACGGUACCGUAGGAAUAAGAGGUUGCUAACUCUGUGCCAGCAGCAGCGGUAAUACAGAGACCUCAAGCGUUAUCCGGAUUGAUUGGGCGUAAAGCGUGCGCAGGCGGCUUCUUAAGCCGAUGGUCAAAUUCUCCAGCUCAACUGGUGAACUGCCGUCGGAACUGUGAAGCUAGAGUAUGGAAGGGGUGAGCGGAAUUGCCAGUGUAACGGUAAAAUGUGUUAAUAUUGGCAAGAACACCAGAGGCGAAGGCGGCUCACUAGUACAUUACUGACGCUGUUUGCACGAAAGCGUGGGGAGCGAACGGGCUUAGAUACCCGAGUAGUC